UUAUUUUUAAUUGGGGAAUAUAUAUUCGUUUAAGCAAUUAAGUUAGAUACCGAGUAGCUUAUUUAAGUUGGAUAACGAGUUAUAUAAAACGAUAUUGCUCAAUUUCAAUUACCGCUAGCAAGAUUCUUAAUGACUGUUUCAUCUGAAAAUCGUCGUCGCUAAAUCAUGGAUUUAUUUCCUUUCCUCACUAGUCAACCAAGAUAUUCCUUUCCUCACUCGUCAACCAAGAACAAGAAACAGGUUGGCUGAGCUUAUUUUCGAUGUCGUGUACCACUGACUUAACCUUCUUUAGAUUUUUUGUAUGUAUAAACAUAAAUCUUCUACUUUAAACAUUUUAAACACUAAUUUAAUAUUCUUUUUUGUGCAGAUCUUCUACAUGUCGUCGUUACCGGUCUCUUCACUUUCUGUAUCAAGAACGUUACUAUUCUUCUCGUCUAAGUUGGUUUUUAUUGUGACUUUUGAUUAUUCAUUGUCGAUUUUUUCCCCUUUCAAAUUGUGUAUUUUUUCUAAUUCAUUGUUCAUCUUUUGCUUGUUUUUUGAUAUGAAAUUUGUUGCAUUUUAUUGAAAUUAAUUUUAUUUAGAUUCUUGGAGUGGCU
This 596-nucleotide long non-coding RNA is filed under the name Panax ginseng (ginseng). RNAcentral describes it as "long non-coding RNA (PGIN_LNC016971)". The record is from RNAcentral. Lineage: Eukaryota; Viridiplantae; Streptophyta; Magnoliopsida; Apiales; Araliaceae.